Molecule: non-coding RNA, 73 nt
Organism: Ornithorhynchus anatinus (platypus)
Lineage: Eukaryota; Metazoa; Chordata; Mammalia; Monotremata; Ornithorhynchidae
Source: the annotation of a RefSeq genome assembly
UCCCGGGUAGCUCAAUCGGUAGAGCAUGAGACGUUUAAUCUCAGGGCUGUGGGUUCGAGCCCCACGUUGGGUA